This 318-nucleotide ribosomal RNA is filed under the name Triticum aestivum (bread wheat). RNAcentral's name for it is "partial small subunit ribosomal RNA". The record is from RNAcentral. Lineage: Eukaryota; Viridiplantae; Streptophyta; Magnoliopsida; Poales; Poaceae.
AUGAAUUCCAUAGUGUGGAACUGCCGUGGUGCGGGGAACGCCUCGACAGUUCGCGACAUCGUGGCUCUGACUCGAGCCCAUUCCCCAAGUAUGGUUUUCUUAUGUGAAACUAGACAGCAAAAGGAUAAGAUGUAUCGUCUUCGUAACAGAAUUGGUCUACGUGGCUUUGAAGGAGUUAGUAGUGAGGGUAAUAGUGGAGGUCUAGCCUUGUUUUGGGAUGAGUCCUUGUACGUUGAUAUGUUCGGUUGCCUGCUGAUGAUCAAGUGUGCAGAAUUACCUUUACAUAUGGGGAGCCGAGAACAGAGAAUAGACAUUUGA